GACGAACGCUGGCGGCGUGCUUAACACAUGCAAGUCGAACGGUGAAGCGCCUUCCUUUUUGGUGGGUGUGGAUGAGUGGCGAACGGGUGAGUAACACGUGAGUAACCUGCCCCUUUCUUCUGGAUAACCGCAUGAAAGUGUGGCUAAUACGGGAUAUUCUGGGUCUGUCGCAUGAUGGGUCUGGGAAAGAUAUUGUUUCGGUGGGGGAUGGGCUCGCGGCCUAUCAGCUUGUUGGUGGGGUGAUGGCCUACCAAGGCGGUGACGGGUAGCCGGCCUGAGAGGGUGGACGGUCACACUGGGACUGAGACACGGCCCAGACUCCUACGAGAGGCAGCAGUGGGGAAUAUUGCACAAUGGGCGCAAGCCUGAUGCAGCGACGCCGCGUGAGGGAUGGAGGCCUUCGGGUUGUGAACCUCUUUCGCCAGUGAAGCAGGCCUGCCUCGUUUGUGGGUGGGUUGACGGUAGCUGGAUAAGAAGCGCCGGCUAACUACGUG
Molecule: ribosomal RNA, 494 nt
Filed under: uncultured bacterium
Lineage: Bacteria
Description: partial 16S ribosomal RNA
Rfam family: Bacterial small subunit ribosomal RNA
Source: RNAcentral